GCGGGGGCGGGGGGGGGGGCGGGGAAGCGGGGUGGAGGGAGGCAGGAGCUUCAGUUGUACCUAAAGGCUCGAGAUCAAAGCUUUCUGGCUUCCAGAUGGGGACCGCGGGGAGGGCUGCCCACUCGGGGGCAGGCAAGGCUGAGCACCCCCGCCCCUUCCUCGGAAAGCCCCCGGGGGAUGUGGCGGUGACAGCUGUGCCCCAGCCCGCGCCCGGCGGGUUUCCUUUUCCUGUGCUCACUCUCCCGACUGGCUGGCCAGCAGCCUGGAGACACCAGUCCGGCCCUUUUGAAGGGGCUCCCCAGAGGGUCAUCCUGGACGAGGGGGAGGGGACUGACAGAACAAUGGGCUUCUGUAGCUGCUGGACGGCCAGGCGCUUCCUGUUAACCCUUCCCUCGGGGGUGCAGCUUGGGGGAGCAUCUCAGGGGCCUGGCCUGUGGAAAGGGAGCCGGAGGGGAUUUGUCCACCGAGCUAGCGAACAGGCAGCUCUUUCUCUCCCGUCCCAGGUCUUGUUUUCACAAAUGAUCAGAAAGGGCAAGGCGAAUGCACCCCUUGCGGUCCUCAGUGGAGUGAUAGAGCCUGGUUCUCUGCUCUCUGAGCUAGCCAGAGAGGUUCACCCUCAGGAGAGUCUGUGGGGCUCCAGGAGCUUCUGAGGGUCCCUGGAGCCCCAGCAUCCGGCCCCGGAGGCUUUUGGGUAGUUACAGGCCAGACAACAUGCCCUGUUCUAAGAAGAGACUGCACACAGUGAUGCCUCCCACCCAGCCAGGUGCUGUGCCUGGCCCUCCCACAUUCUCAGUUAUCCAUCACUGCAAGCCUAAAUCAGAACUAAAGUAGGCCUGGGGCACCCGGGCGGCGCAGUCCGUGAAGCAUCCGACGCUUGAUCUCCGCUCAGGUCAUGAUCGCGCAGUUCGUGGGUUCGAGCCUCAUGUCAGUCUCUGCACUGAUGGUGUGGAGCCUGCUUGGGAUCCUCUCUCUCCUGCUCCCUGCCCCUCCCUCACUUGUGUGCUAGCAGGGCUCUCUGCUGUCUCGCUCGCUCUCUCUCAAAAGAAACAAAAAAAUUA
Acinonyx jubatus (cheetah) is the source of this 1058-nucleotide long non-coding RNA. RefSeq lists it as uncharacterized. NCBI's taxonomy places the organism in Eukaryota, Metazoa, Chordata, Mammalia, Carnivora, Felidae. The transcript is spliced from 2 exons. The record is from RefSeq and is a predicted model, not a curated record.